Molecule: long non-coding RNA, 207 nt
Filed under: Homo sapiens (human)
Lineage: Eukaryota; Metazoa; Chordata; Mammalia; Primates; Hominidae
Description: non-protein coding lnc-SLC2A12-5:2
Source: RNAcentral
GCUUGCCAGCCUCUGCCAGCCUGCACCCCAAUAGGCAGUUUCCUGCUUGCGAGCUCUAGCUGAAAUUCUAGUUUGCCAGCCUUUGCUCAGACCAGCUGUGGGACAGUUAUGGCCUCAAUCAACUCAGGAACCUCAACUUUUUUUUUUUUUCUUUUUUUCUGAGAUGAAGUCUUGCUCUUUCACCCAUGCUGUAGUGCAGUGGCGCCA